UACAAAUUCUCAGGUUCUGCUCCUGAUCCGCGGAAUCCUCUGACCCAGGGGAUGAGAGCCCAGCAAUCUGUGUCUUAAAUCCUCCUUUGAAUCCUCCCUUAAAUCCUCCAGGUGAUUCUGACGCGCUGCUAGAACGUAACGGCAGUAGUGACGUAGGGAGGUGUUCGACUGGUUGUACAUUUUAGUUCUGAAUACUCAAUUUUGUCAAGCAAUGUUAAAUCAGAUGUUUUGUAAGGUGACAGUUCUAACUUUGAAAGAAGCCAUGAUGCUCUGACGUUUAACUCUGUUCGUGAAAUGUACUUUUUUUUUGAGGCAGAUUUGAACAAGGGAAGUGGGUAGAAAUAACUAAAUGGUUGAAAAAAUAAAGUGAAUGAAAUAAUCUGGAAUGAAUUCACAUGGGGAGGUGAAAAGUGAAAAGAAAAGCAGUUGAUUCCUACUUUAUUUCUGUAAAUAGUGAGAGUGCCUUGUCAGAAGGGCUCACUUGGGACAGGAAGAAGUCAUUUUCCAAAGUGACAAGCGGGGCUGUGUGUUUUUCAUUCAGAACUUCUUGAAAAUCUGUUACAAUAGGUCCAAUGCUGUGAUAGAUGGUGGGGUUCAGAGAUGACCAACACACUCCAUGAUGCCGAGGAGGCCGCAGCGUAGCUGGAGAAGCUGAUUAAUAAAUCAGUAAUUAUAAAUCAGUGUGAGUGUUAAUGCAAAGUUUGGGCAUAUAGAGGAGGGAUUUCCAACUAAAACUGGAUGAAAAUGAGUCACUGAGGGUCACCUGGACAUGAUCACACGCCAUUGCAGCAUUCAGGGGAGAGUAGACCAGCCAGGCAACCACGAGAAGGGAUGUAGGGGAUAGCCAGUGUGCCCCAAGAAGGCAAUAAUGAAUGACUUUUGGGCCACGAGGAUACUUCAGCGGGCAAAACAGACAAAAAUUUCUGUUUGUGGAGUUUCAUUCUAGCAGAGGGAUACAGACAAAAAAGAUAUAACUCCUGAUCAACCGUGAGUGGACUGAUAAAAUCAAAUUUCUGAAGCCUAAAGUUUGAGGACUGGACCUUUGUCAACAAAUGUGUGUUGAAUAAGUAAACCUAUGAGGUGCAGUGACUCUGGAAAGCUCAUCCGGAAAUGUU
This 1115-nucleotide long non-coding RNA is filed under the name Equus caballus (horse). Its description in RNAcentral is "lncRNA (ENSECAG00000048323.1)". Lineage: Eukaryota; Metazoa; Chordata; Mammalia; Perissodactyla; Equidae. The record is from RNAcentral.